UAGAGNUUUUGAUCCUGGCUCAGGAUGAACGCUGGCGGCGUGCCUAAUACAUGCAAGUCGAGCGAACGGAUAAGGAGCUUGCUCCUUUGAAGUUAGCGGCGGACGGGUGAGUAACACGUGGGUAACCUACCUAUAAGACUGGAAUAACUUCGGGAAACCGGAGCUAAUGCCGGAUAACAUAUAGAACCGCAUGGUUCUAUAGUGAAAGAUGGUUUUGCUAUCACUUAUAGAUGGACCCGCGCUGUAUUAGCUAGUUGGUAAGGUAAUGGCUUACCAAGGCGACGAUACAUAGCCGACCUGAGAGGGUGAUCGGCCACACUGGAACUGAGACACGGUCCAGACUCCUACGGGAGGCAGCAGUAGGGAAUCUUCCGCAAUGGGCGAAAGCCUGACGGAGCAACGCCGCGUGAGUGAUGAAGGUUUUCGGAUCGUAAAACUCUGUUAUUAGGGAAGAACAAAUGCGUAAGUAACUGUGCGCAUCUUGACGGUACCUAAUCAGAAAGCCACGGCUAACUAC
RNAcentral lists this ribosomal RNA (517 nucleotides) under Staphylococcus succinus. RNAcentral's name for it is "bacterial SSU rRNA". It matches the Rfam family "Bacterial small subunit ribosomal RNA", at positions 1 to 504 of the family's 1533-position model. The record is from RNAcentral. Lineage: Bacteria; Bacillati; Bacillota; Bacilli; Caryophanales; Staphylococcaceae.